GACGUAGGGUGCAAGCGUUGUCCGGAUUUAUUGGGCGUAAAGAGUUCGUAGGUGGUUUGUUAAGUCUGAUGUUAAAGACCGGGGCUCAACCUCGGGACUGCAUUGGAUACUGGCAGACUUGAGUGUGGUAGAGGCAAUCGGAAUUCCAGGUGUAGCGGUGAAAUGCGUAGAUAUCUGGAAGAACACCGGUGGCGCAAGCGGAUUGCUGGGCCAUAACUGACACUGAGGAACGAAAGCUAGGGUAGCGAAUGGG
This 253-nucleotide ribosomal RNA is filed under the name uncultured bacterium. Its description in RNAcentral is "partial 16S ribosomal RNA". It matches the Rfam family "Bacterial small subunit ribosomal RNA", at positions 524 to 776 of the family's 1533-position model. The record is from RNAcentral.